AUAGUCUCUUUCUGCUCCUGCAGAUCAAGAUGCAGAACUCUCAGCUCCUUCUCCAGCACCAUGUCUGCCUGCAUGCUGCCAUGACGAUAAUGGACUAAACCUCUGAAACUACAUCUUGAAGGCAUUUUUUGAAGCUCGAGAUAGCUGGGUGACUUGCUUUGAUCACUGAACUGUGUCUGAAGAGGAUAAUAUCAUUAUGAACAGUGAUAAAGGAAGACCCAGGGAUCCAGUCACACAAUUUCUCCUGAAUCUGACAAGACAACACUCUCCCCACAUCCUGAGAAUGGCAGAGAGGAGCUGCACCAUGUGGCUAACAAGUUGUUCUUGGGGAGGCUGCACUCCUGGCUCCUCCUCAGCUUGCCUUCUCCUGCCUCAGUUUUUAGGGACCACCGCAGAGCCAACAGACUGAGGAGUUCUGCACUGCAGUGAAGGUUCCCACUUCUCUACACCCUGAACUUUAAGCAAUUAUUAAAUACUGUAAAAGAACUAUAGUCAGCUAAGUAAGAGCUGAGCACAAUGUCACCUUUGUUUGCAUACAGUUACUACUCUCAAAGACAUCAGAUAAUUUUACUUCAACUUCCUGUCAGGAUAGAUUGCACAUCCCAGGGAAGUAUUACCCAACACCUGGGAGGCAUAGGUAACUCUGCCAGUUGCAGGCCUGCCUGGUCUAUAUAGUCAGUUCCUGGCCAGCCACAUCCUUCCUUCAAUAAAAGAUAUACUAGAAAGA
Mus musculus (house mouse) is the source of this 727-nucleotide long non-coding RNA. RefSeq annotates it as predicted gene, 19765. The transcript has 3 exons. The record is from RefSeq and is marked validated. Lineage: Eukaryota; Metazoa; Chordata; Mammalia; Rodentia; Muridae.